Long non-coding RNA from Homo sapiens (human), 1147 nucleotides. RefSeq lists it as uncharacterized. The transcript is spliced from 2 exons. The record is from RefSeq and is a predicted model, not a curated record. NCBI's taxonomy places the organism in Eukaryota, Metazoa, Chordata, Mammalia, Primates, Hominidae.
UGAUCUGCACAGCAGAUCGUCUGCAAACAAAGACCAUUUAGAGGCAAAGCUCUGGCCCCGAGAAAGACGCCAGGGGCUGGCUCAAGUUCAAGGAGGAAGAGGGCCCUUCUUGGUGUUCUGGGCAGCCGGCCACAGACACCUUCCAUCCCACCAGGCCACUCAGGGAGGAGGAGAUCGUGUUCCUCUGUGCAUCCGCCCCAGUUCACAGAGCAGUACUGACUCACAGGAGUGCUUCACUGAAGCCCACGCUUUAUUCGGGGUUCUCUAGUCUUUACCUAAAAUCCGUCUCUACCCCGGACCCCAGCCGGGACACCCCAUGGCCCUCAAUCCUCAGUUCUCCUUAGACUCCUCUUGGUGGUGAUGGAUUCUCAGACUUUCCUGUGUUGAAUGACCUUGACCUUGGCUGUUCUGAGGAGGACCGGCAGGAACACUGAAGAAUUGGAGUUUGAUGUUUUUCUCAUAGUGGGUUGAGUGGAGACUGCACCUGUGAUGGAGGUCGAGCGCUUUCAUCCCAUCCCAUCAAGGGUGCAUCGGGUCAACGUAACCGAGCAUGGUUAAACGUGAUGACCUGGCUGAAGCAGUGUCUGCCAGGUUUCUCCACUGUAAAACUGCCUUACCCCUUUCCAUACCUUUUGGAAGAAGUCAUUAUGAGCAGCCCACGUGGCCAAAGUGGGGAGCUGUGCUUCCCCUCUUCAAGGGCAGGGGAUCUACAUAAGUUAUUUGGAAGUCUGCACAGAAAACUUGUCACUCUCCCUCCAAUUAUUUAUUUCCUCAGUCAUUUCUAUCAGAAUAGGCUGGCUCUAUACUUUGAGUUAUUUUCCAAUGCUAUCUUACUUUGUUGCUCAAAUUGCUCUAGCUUUAGCCACUGGGGGUUCUUUCCAUUGCCUCCUAUGUCCCUUUAAAAUGUCCCCAUUAUGGCGGCAUCCUGGGUGUUUUGGUUUGGCUUGGUUUGGACACUUCCUUGCUUUCUGCUCCAGGCUCAUCUUGUUUACUCCCCUCCCAGUCCCAGAAUUAAGCAUUUCUUCACAGAACCCGGGAUCCUUGUAUGGAAGACUGGGAUUAGCAACCACUAUCUGGUGCUGGGUUUCAAGACUCUCCUACAUUGACGCUUGCUUCCAGUAUAAAAUAAAGGUAUUAUAACAUAUAA